RNAcentral lists this ribosomal RNA (468 nucleotides) under uncultured bacterium. RNAcentral's name for it is "partial 16S ribosomal RNA". It matches the Rfam family "Bacterial small subunit ribosomal RNA", at positions 28 to 507 of the family's 1533-position model. The record is from RNAcentral.
GACGAACGCUGGCGGCGUGCUUAACACAUGCAAGUCGAACGGAAAGGCCCUGCUUUUGUGGGGUGCUCGAGUGGCGAACGGGUGAGUAACACGUGAGUAACCUGCCCUUGACUUUGGGAUAACUUCAGGAAACUGGGGCUAAUACCGGAUAGGAGCUCCUGCUGCAUGGUGGGGGUUGGAAAGUUUCGGCGGUUGGGGAUGGACUCGCGGCUUAUCAGCUUGUUGGUGGGGUAGUGGCUUACCAAGGCUUUGACGGGUAGCCGGCCUGAGAGGGUGACCGGCCACAUUGGGACUGAGAUACGGCCCAGACUCCUACGGGAGGCAGCAGGGGGGAAUAUUGCACAAUGGGCGGAAGCCUGAUGCAGCAACGCCGCGUGCGUGAUGACGGCCUUCGGGUUGUAAACCGCUGUCGCCUGUGACGAAGCGUGAGUGACGGUAAUGGGUAAAGAAGCACCGGCUAACUACGUG